AGUGAACGCUGGCGGCAGGCCUAACACAUGCAAGUCGAGCGGCAGCGCAGCAGUAGCAAUACUGUGGGUGGCGAGUGGCGGACGGGUGAGGAAUACAUCGGAAUCUACCUUUUCGUGGGGGGAUAACGUAGGGAAACUUACGCUAAUACCGCAUAAGACCUUCGGUGAAAGCCGGGGACCUUCGGGCCUGGCGCGGAUAG
This 200-nucleotide ribosomal RNA is filed under the name uncultured bacterium. RNAcentral's name for it is "partial 16S ribosomal RNA". It matches the Rfam family "Bacterial small subunit ribosomal RNA", at positions 29 to 224 of the family's 1533-position model. The record is from RNAcentral.